Molecule: long non-coding RNA, 1991 nt
Organism: Lytechinus pictus (painted urchin)
Lineage: Eukaryota; Metazoa; Echinodermata; Echinoidea; Temnopleuroida; Toxopneustidae
Exons: 3
Source: RefSeq, a predicted model, not a curated record
UUGGUUUAGCCAUCGUUUUCUGAGCAAACUUCGAAAGACAGGCGUGAUAGAACUGGGAUUCGACGAGGACGACGUCGUUCUUGACAUUGGUUGUGGUAGCGGUGUUCCCAGCAAAGAAGUAGCAGCCAUGGUAAAGUAGAAUUACGUUCAUUUUCAAAAGGACUGGGAAAACGAAGCGGAAUUUCUGGAGCUUGUUAGAUCUGCAGGAUUUGAGGUUUGCAAAUCGGCAGCUGAAGAACAUAACCUACACGCCGAGUGUGCUGAUGAGGCGAAAGCUGGAAUGCAAACCACUAUGGGACAGAUCAGUGCUAUUCCGGCCAAUCUUCAAGAUGAGUGCAUGGAAGACGUCCUAAGAUGGUUACAUGACGUCACUAUGAAACAACCUGAGGCAAAAGAGAAACAAACCGCUACGGGAGAAAGUCGGAUUUUGACGUUAGUUGCCCGCCAUACACAAGGGAUGUAGUUGGUUUCAAACCGCCUCGAUCAUGAGAAUCCCCGUUAAAUUACGAAAACUUUUUUAGAGCUAAAAAAUACCCAUUCAUUAUUCCUGCAUUCUCACCGCCCCGAAACAUACCCUUUGGGAUAAGUUCCUGAAGUUACGAGCAUGCGCAGCAUGGUCUGAUAAGCAAGUGAGGCGCGAGAUUCAAAAUCACUAGCUCAGCAGCCGCCCGCGCCCACCUACACGCUAGGCUAAAAGUUCCCGUAAAUUGCUUUCACAUUGCCAAAAUACCUUGGAUAAAUCCCCGCGAAAGUUCUCGUAUUUUGACAAGUACCUACUAUUUAGUGGGUAUUUUCUUUCGGGGAGAUUACGCGUAAUUUUCUUUCACAUUGCCAAUAUUAUUACCUGGUAUUUUUUGAUCGGGGUAAAUUUCCCGAUCAGAAAAUACCUAGAACUGACGAACUUCGAGGCGGUCUGAAACCACCUACACAUGACAAUGGACAAAAAACAGAACGCCCGCCAUUUCGUCCAAUCAACAUUUAAACGUACUUUGAUUUUCAUUUUGCAAACUUUUGCAAGGUUACAACGGAGUGACAUUAACCCCAGUAGUUCGUCCCUUUACCAUGCAUGUUUACCCCUAUACACUUUCAUUACCCUUUUUCUUUUCCAUGUUUCGUUCUUUUUGUAUGUGUUCCGGACCAACCUUUCAUUACUAUCACCAUCGAUAAUGGCACGAAUUAAAACUAUCAUAUUCGAUUUGUGGUCCUGCCGAUUAUAACACACAUUUUGCAUGCAAAUUGAUAUUCAUGUCUUGUGGAUUAGCGUAUCAGACCAUGUAGCAUUCGGACCAGUGGUACCUAAACCUCAUUAUUCAGACGGAAUUGUAGACGAAGUACAACUAGUAGGUAAAAUGGCUUUUGGACUAGAUGCUUACUUGGGCCGUUAGCCCCACCCCCCUCUCGAAAAAAAAAGAAUCACUACUAAGAAAAUAGCUAAGAAAAAAAUAAAGAAAAAAGAAAGGAAACUGGGUGAAGUAUAUUGUCGUUUUCGGAAUAUUUAAUUGUUCAUAUAAAUCCAUUACACAAAUUUUGCCCACAUCCCAAGUCUAGCAGCUUCAUUUUUCUUAUUUUAUUACUAUUAUUUUUUUUUUUAGCUCAUUACGCUUCUGAUCACUAGACAUGAGCUUUGAAAGGGGAUUCCAAUAUUGAGAUUUUUUAUGUGAAAGACGAAAAAUGAAAGUUAGAAAGUAAAUCAGCAAAUGAACUGGACAAUAAGGGAUUAAUGACUGUUUGAAAAAGAGAUCACUCAUUAUAUACAAGAUUUCAAAUAAACAUUUUAGUGAAGUAGACUGUGCCAUGUGAUAUAUGAUUAUCAGGAAUUUUGUAUUUUUCAUGGGCAUCUUUCUUGUCAAAGCGCUCCUCCGGAAAAAAGAUGUUCAAGAAGGUGCAUUUUUCCUUGUAUCAGGGAGUAAUCAAUUCGAAAAAGAAUAAUUGUAUUUUUGUGGUUUCAGCAAACACUACAGAUAAAGGAGCAGUCUCUAUCCUCAACACAA